Magallana angulata is the source of this 323-nucleotide long non-coding RNA. RefSeq lists it as uncharacterized. The transcript has 3 exons. Lineage: Eukaryota; Metazoa; Mollusca; Bivalvia; Ostreida; Ostreidae. The record is from RefSeq and is a predicted model, not a curated record.
AAUGUGUUAUGACCAUCGUAUACAUGUUCAGCCUUUGUUUAAUUUGAAUAUAUAGAUUGUGAACCAUGUUCAAUUAACUUACGAGCAUAUGUGUACUGUUCUAUUUAAAUGCAGAGGUAUUCUGCUCGAGCCCAGCCAAACAGUGCCCAUCGGAUAAAUAUUAUGAUCCAAUGAUUCACAACUGUACUGAUUGUCCUUCGGGUUACUAUGGAUCAAAUUGUUCGAAUUCUUGUCGUUACCCAAGCUAUGGCGUAGAGUGUCAGGAAAAAUGUCAGUGUGCAAAGAAAGCAUGCGAUCACGUCUUUGGAUGUUCAAGCUAUGAG